GACGAACGCUGGCGGCGUGCCUAAUACAUGCAAGUAGAACGCUGAAGGAGGAGCUUGCUUCUCUGGAUGAGUUGCGAACGGGUGAGUAACGCGUAGGUAACCUGCCUGGUAGCGGGGGAUAACUAGUGGAAACGAUAGCUAAUACCGCAUAAUAGUAGAUGUUGCAUGACAUUUGCUUAAAAGGUGCCAUUGCAUCACUACCAGAUGGACCUGCGUUGUUUUAGCUAGUAGGUGGGGUAACGGCUCACCAAGGCGACGAUACAUAGCCGAGCUGUGAGGGGGAGAGGACACACUGGGACGGAGAGACGGGCCAGACUCUUACGGGAGGCAGCAGUAUGGAAUCUUCGGCAAUGGACGGAAGACUGACCGAGCAACGCCGCGUGAGUGAAGAAGGGGUUCGGAUCGUAAAGCUCGGUUGUAAGAGAAGAACGAGGGUGAGAGUUGAAAGUUCACACUGUGACGGUAGCUUACCAGAAAGGGACGGCUAACUACGUG
RNAcentral lists this ribosomal RNA (495 nucleotides) under uncultured bacterium. Its description in RNAcentral is "partial 16S ribosomal RNA". It matches the Rfam family "Bacterial small subunit ribosomal RNA", at positions 28 to 507 of the family's 1533-position model. The record is from RNAcentral.